Molecule: non-coding RNA, 139 nt
Organism: Triticum aestivum (bread wheat)
Lineage: Eukaryota; Viridiplantae; Streptophyta; Magnoliopsida; Poales; Poaceae
Source: Rfam
CAUAUACUCCCUCCAUUCCAAAAUAUUACUUGACUUCCAUUUGUCCAAAAAUGGAUGUACCUAUAUACUAAAACAUGUCUAGAUACAUCUAUAUUUUGACAAAUGGAAGGCAUGAAUUGUGGAACGGAGGGAGUACUUG